AUAUUUUCCAAUUAGGCUGAUAAUAUUCACAAUAUAAUCGACUGAAUUUUGCAUAUAUAAGUCCUGCUACUGGAAUCUUGUCAAAGGCUUCACUAACUUUAUCACAACAGUUCCAGCAAGAUUCAAUGGGCCAUUGCUAAAACACAGAGAGGAGCUGUGUCAUACAGGAAUCAAUGUAUUUCAUUUAUCAUCUGCCAGUACUGAAGUCUGCUCCAACACACCAACCUGUGCUGUACUGGGAUAAGAAUUACUGGGGCUGUUUUUUUUUCUCUUCAAACUGCAUUGUGUUUAGGAUUCCACAUGUUUAUCUCUACUCAUCUGUGUAUAUGAUUAGUCUAGGAACAAUGACAUUUAAGAGGUGGUAAGCUGGUUCCUGGAUCUCACUUGGAAAAAAACAGAACAAAAGAAAAAGUUCAUGUUGUGCAGUACAUAGCAACACUGAGGCUGAUCACUCAUAUCAGUAAUAGGAUGGACUCAAUUGCAUAUCUCGUUUGCAUUUUUGUAGACCUCAAUAAUGUUUUUUCAUGUUGAUCAUAAAUGCAUCAGAACGAUCAGAACUGCCAUGUGAAAUGAGUUAAUGCAAGAGUAGGUUUCAAAUAUUGCAUGAGAAAAAUCCCCCCCUGCACGCUUCUGAAGAAGCAGAAUGCAGAGGUGGGGCAAGAAAUAGGACAGGUAUCCAUUUCCCUGCAGAAGGAGAAUUUGCUCAUUUUAUGAUUAAGUAUUUCUUCAAGCUGCUGCUCUCUGAAGUGCAGGGUCCUCUGCAGGAUGCCCAGAAACCAAACAGAGAGGCUACAAAUGGUGGGCAGAUAUUGCAGAGGGCUGGCAGGCAGCUCCAGCUGCCCUGUUCUGAAUCCUGCUCUCUCCAGGGCACCUGGGCUGCGCUUCCACCCUGGGACAGCCUCCUGCUUCCACCCCUUACUGAAGCAACUAGUGGAAAGGACUUUCUGCCUCCCUCCAUCUGGUGUCUUUCUGCAGGUUUUUCCAUAAGAAGAAAUGAUCUACCACAGAUUCAGCCCAGUUUCUGGGAUCGGUCCUGUGAUGCCUGUAGCUGUGGCCAGUGGAAUAAGCCCACAGGCUCAGUGAAAGCACCCAAAGGUUAGUAGUGCAAGGAAAAUGUUUAUUUCUAGUAAUUUCAAGGAGUUCUACAGGUCUGUGCUCCAGAAGGAGUAGAACUUUGCACAACUGUGUGUUUGGAAGAAGGGAGUAACUGGCAGCCAGGAAACAAGUGAAACAAUUAGAAACAACUCACUGUCAUUUCUGUGUACAUUUGGUAGCAUUUCAAUAAUCCAACAGAAGCAGUAAAUAACAUAGCUGGGUCCUCAAUUUUUAUAGGCUUUCUAAAUAAUUUUAUACCAUUAUUG
This 1361-nucleotide long non-coding RNA is filed under the name Cyanistes caeruleus (blue tit). Its description in RNAcentral is "lncRNA (ENSCCEG00000016317.1)". The record is from RNAcentral. Lineage: Eukaryota; Metazoa; Chordata; Aves; Passeriformes; Paridae.